UACGUAGGGUGCAAGCGUUAAUCGGAAUUACUGGGCGUGAAGCGUGCGCAGGCGGUUCUAUAAGACAGAUGUGAAAGCCCCGGGCUCAACCUGGGAACUGCAAUGGAAACUGGCGGCUUGAGUGUGGCAGAGGGGGGGGUGAAUUCCGCGUGUAGCAGUGAAAUGCGUAGAGAUGCGGAGGAACACCGAUGGCGAAGGCAGCCCCCCUGGGCCAACACUGACGCUCAGGCACGAAAGCGUGGGGAGCAAACAGG
RNAcentral lists this ribosomal RNA (254 nucleotides) under uncultured bacterium. RNAcentral's name for it is "partial 16S ribosomal RNA". It matches the Rfam family "Bacterial small subunit ribosomal RNA", at positions 524 to 776 of the family's 1533-position model. The record is from RNAcentral.